AUGUUUUUUUACCUAAUUAAGCUAAUUAUUUCAUAAAUGAACUAAAUUAGCUAAUUGUUUCAUUUUGGAGGAUAAUUAGCCAAGUAUGUCUUUCUUGGGGAAAAUAAGCUAAGGAGAAGAAGAAAGAGGAGAAGAAAGAGGAGAAGAAGAAGGAGGAGAAGAAGAAGAAGGAGGAGAAGAAGAAGAAGGAGAAGAGGAUGAUUACAAGAAUAAUAAUAAUAAU
Molecule: long non-coding RNA, 223 nt
Filed under: Hordeum vulgare
Lineage: Eukaryota; Viridiplantae; Streptophyta; Magnoliopsida; Poales; Poaceae
Description: long non-coding RNA (HVUL_LNC019704)
Source: RNAcentral